This 184-nucleotide small nucleolar RNA is filed under the name Nannospalax galili (Upper Galilee mountains blind mole rat). RNAcentral's name for it is "Small nucleolar RNA SNORA23 (ENSNGAG00000002191.1)". It matches the Rfam family "Small nucleolar RNA SNORA23". Rfam says of the family: The members of this family belong to the H/ACA class of snoRNAs which are thought to guide the sites of modification of uridines to pseudouridines. This family includes human snoRNA ACA23 (SNORA23) and mouse snoMBI-1. Lineage: Eukaryota; Metazoa; Chordata; Mammalia; Rodentia; Spalacidae. The record is from Rfam by way of RNAcentral.
GCUCAAGUGUGUGCAUAGUUGUCAUCUGUGUCUGGUAGCAGUGUCUGUCUGUGUUUUGCAUUCAGAUCUUGCUAUCCACACAAACAUCAUGCAGCCAAAGAAAAACUUGGGAUCAUAGUACUGGUCUAGUGUUGUGUGUUUGGGCACGUUUCCCACUGACCAGCCUCCAAAUUCCCAAACAUGA